UCUCGCAGCCUCGCGGCGGCUGGGCGGCUUCCACAAGGCGAGGCGGGUCUGGGAUCUUCUCGGCCGACUUUGCUUGACGGGCUGGGCUGGCCUGGACCGGCGGGCGAGCGUCGGACGUCCCGGAAAGGCGGAAGGGGCUGCCGCGGGGCCGGGACACCCAGGCGGUUCCAGAAACAGUAUCACAGGAACCACUGCCACAUGAAGGGUGAAUCGAAGAGCGUGCAGCCAGCAAAACGGAGGAAGGAGGUAUAGAGUAACACACCUUGGAGAUUAUAUAGCAGUGCACAGAGAUGUGCUUCAUGCCUUUCCAGGACUCCACUGGGUGUUGUGCUGUAGCUCCAGUCUCCUGUUGGUAAAUAUUUGAGUUGUUUUCAGUUCGUUGCUAUUAAACGUAGUGCUUUGGGGUAUAGCCUUCCAAAUAGUUUAUUAAGCUUUUACGAGUGCGAUCAUAUUCCAUUGAAUCUGAAAUGCCAUUGAUCACAAGAUGCACCAUUACUUGACGUAACUCCAAGAAAGGAAAGCGUCCCGUCAGUUAGUAAGUGCUGCUGCACUUCUUACCAACCACACGACCUGCCUGCACCCGCACGGAUCCUCAGCUCCUUCUCGGUGCCAGUGUCCCACCACACUGAGCCCCCCUCUGGGCCUUUGCAUCCUAUCCCUCCUGCCUCCCCAGAACCCGAGCACUAGUAGUUUUCUACUGUGCGAAUUCAACCUGUAUCUGUCAGCAGUAAGCUUGGCUGCAUAAGGAAGAUCCCAAUUGAUUGUGACUUAAACAAGGAAGAAAUUUAUUUCUCGGUCAUGUAUUUAUUUGAAUGUCUAUUUAUCUGAAUAUGUAGUAGUUAUUGUAUAAAAAUUAAAAGGUACAAGUUGGUGCGCAGUUAAAAGGUGGUCUUCCUCCCACCCUUCCUCGGCCUCUCGCAAGGUUGGAAAUGGAAUUUAAAGCCACGGAAAUGGAAACGGCCACUUGGGAGCAUGUGUACCGAGAGGGAAGAGGACCCCAGGACGGGGACCCCUGGGACUCCAGCCUUUAACAGCUGAGCAGGAGGAGAAGCUGCAAGAGUCUGGGAAUAAAUGUCAUCGAGGAAGAAGGGAAACCCAGAGACUGUUUGGCCCCAGAAGCCAAAAGAAGGAAGCAUUUUAAGAAAAAGAGAGUGUGUCUAAUGCUGCUCGACAGUUCAAGUUAGGUGAGAGCAGGAAGUGAGGGGGAUGUGUGGCAGCAGGACAGGCCUGAGGGACCUGCCCAGGUGGCAUCUCAGGGGAAACGGACUGAGGAGAAAAGAUGAGCAACAGUCCGGUCAGCGAUCACGGCAAAGGGGGCACGAGGCUGAAGGCGACGUGGAAGGGACAGAGCGUUUCACUCAGAGGCGCUGUUAGGACAUUGUUCGCUGGUGGAAAUAAACCAUUAGGAAGGGGGAAAACGGACAAUUUAGGCAAGAGAGGGGACACUUGCUGGAACGAAGUCCUUGAAGAGGCGAGAAUGGCAUGGGAUCCGUGACCCAGGCGGAAGCCCUGGCCUGCCACUUCAGAGGCCCAGGACCUGGGAG
This is a long non-coding RNA of Manis javanica (Malayan pangolin), 1544 nucleotides long. RefSeq lists it as uncharacterized. The record is from RefSeq and is a predicted model, not a curated record. Lineage: Eukaryota; Metazoa; Chordata; Mammalia; Pholidota; Manidae.